Molecule: ribosomal RNA, 229 nt
Filed under: uncultured bacterium
Lineage: Bacteria
Description: partial 16S ribosomal RNA
Rfam family: Bacterial small subunit ribosomal RNA
Source: RNAcentral
UGCGCAGGCGGGUUUGUAAGUCAGUGGUGAAAUCCUGCCGCUUAACGGUAGAAUUGCCAUUGAUACUGCGAAUCUUGAGUAUGGUUGAGGUAGGCGGAAUGUGUAGUGUAGCGGUGAAAUGCAUAGAUAUUACACAGAACUCCGAUUGCGAAGGCAGCUUACUAAGCCAUAACUGACGCUGGGACACGAAAGCGUGGGUAGCGAACAGGAUUAGAUACCCUGGUAGUCC